This 255-nucleotide ribosomal RNA is filed under the name uncultured bacterium. RNAcentral's name for it is "partial 16S ribosomal RNA". It matches the Rfam family "Bacterial small subunit ribosomal RNA", at positions 524 to 776 of the family's 1533-position model. The record is from RNAcentral.
UACGUAGGGGCCUAGCGUUGUCCGGAUUUAUUGGGCGUAAAGAGCUCGUAGGCGGUUCGGCAAGUCAGCUGUGAAAUCUCCACGCUUAACGUGGAGGGGUCAGCUGAUACUGCCGUGACUCGAGUCCGGUAGGAGAGUGUGGAAUUCCCGGUGUAGCGGUGAAAUGCGUAGAUAUCUGGAGGAACACCGGUGGCGAAGGCGGCAUCCUGGACCAACACUGACGCUGAGUGAGCGAAAGCCAGGGGAGCAAACGGG